GACGAACGCUGGCGGCGUGCUUAACACAUGCAAGUCGAACGAUGAUCAGGAGCUUGCUCCUGUGAUUAGUGGCGAACGGGUGAGUAACACGUGAGUAACCUGCCCCUGACUCUGGGAUAAGCGUUGGAAACGACGUCUAAUACUGGAUAUGAUCACUGGCCGCAUGGUCUGGUGGUGGAAAGAUUUGUUGGUUGGGGAUGGACUCGCGGCCUAUCAGCUUGUUGGUGAGGUAAUGGCUCACCAAGGCGACGACGGGUAGCCGGCCUGAGAGGGUGACCGGCCACACUGGGACUGAGACACGGCCCAGACUCCUACGGGAGGCAGCAGUGGGGAAUAUUGCACAAUGGGCGAAAGCCUGAUGCAGCAACGCCGCGUGAGGGAUGACGGCCUUCGGGUUGUAAACCUCUUUUAGUAGGGAAGAAGCGAAAGUGACGGUACCUGCAGAAAAAGCACCGGCUAACUACGUG
RNAcentral lists this ribosomal RNA (467 nucleotides) under uncultured bacterium. Its description in RNAcentral is "partial 16S ribosomal RNA". It matches the Rfam family "Bacterial small subunit ribosomal RNA", at positions 28 to 507 of the family's 1533-position model. The record is from RNAcentral.